Callorhinus ursinus (northern fur seal) is the source of this 998-nucleotide long non-coding RNA. RefSeq lists it as uncharacterized. NCBI's taxonomy places the organism in Eukaryota, Metazoa, Chordata, Mammalia, Carnivora, Otariidae. The record is from RefSeq and is a predicted model, not a curated record.
CCCGGGCGUCCCAAAUGAUCAGCAAUCUUAUCAACUGUGUCGUAUGGAGAAAGCAGAAAACAAGAAUGAGGGAGGAGGCUGGAGAAUAGAAAGGAAAAAGAAGUAGGGUAAAGCCAAGAGGCCAGCAGGUGACACUUAUUACCUACCACUGUCAGGGAAAGAGCAACAGGAAACUGGAGCUCAUACAGAUGUGCCCUGCUGUGAGGUGGUGAUGACUCACUAAGCCCCACCCUGACUUAAAAGAAAUCUGCCCACAGCUAACUCUUGGGAUAUACUCAACAAACAGCCAGCUGAUGGCUGAUUUGGCUCUCUGACUGCUGAUACUGGGAAAAGGGUACCCCAGUUGAGGGAGGAGCAUUCCAUUUACUGAAGGACUAACACCAACUGUAAAUGAAUACGCGAGUAUCUGGCUAUAUACUUCAGCCUCCUAUGAGUUGGAUCGCUGGGAGUCAGGCUUCUCCAGGCAGCUGGACCUCAGAGCACCGACUUGGCUGUGAAACAGGUUCAGCUCUCUGGUAAAUUCAUCAAAGUAAAACAACCCUGGGUGAUCUCUUUGAGAGCAAGUCAGAUGGCUCUGGCACUAAGCAAAACCUUAUGACUCAAUCAUUUUGAUCACAGAGUGCAAAGGACGUAAUUAUGUUGGAAAGGCAUGAUUAUCCUGUUGCUGACCCUGACUCCAUUCCCGGUCCUAUCUCAUGACUCGACAAGUAGAUGUGAAGUCCUCUGGCCCCGGUUACCAGGGUCAAGUGCCUGCUUUCUGGAGUCAGACCUGGAUUCAAAUCGCAGCUCUGCCUCUUCCCAGCAAGUCUCUUAACUUCUCUGCCGCUCGGGUGUUUUCAUCUGUAAGGGCGAUGAUGAACACACCUGCCUGUGGAGUUGGGAGGACUGUAGGAGGGAAUGAAUAGAGGACCGCUCAGCUCAGUGCCUGGAAUUGUCAACCCAAGUAAUGUUAGGUAUCGUUGUUAUCAAGAGUGUUCAUGUUAUCGCUAAGGCACGUA